Molecule: transfer RNA, 67 nt
Filed under: Pyura mirabilis
Lineage: Eukaryota; Metazoa; Chordata; Ascidiacea; Stolidobranchia; Pyuridae
Description: tRNA-Cys
Source: RNAcentral
GAGUGGAUAGGCUAUUACGUUAAGUCGUUAAUUUGCAAAAUUAAAGAAGCUCUAUAAGUUCCUCUCG